GUCCAAUAAUUAGUGUUUUUCCGUAGGGUAAUUUAUCUCGCAUUGAUUUUUUUAAGCAUUAGUGUAUAUCUUACCACUCCCUUGGAUGUGAUCAAAACAAGACUGCACGUACAAGGAUCAACCUUGAGGUACAAAGGCUGGUUGGAUGCAAUUCGCAGCGUAUGGAGGGCCGAAGGGGUUACAUGGUAUAUUCCAGCUUCAGCACUUACGUUUAUGGCUGUAGAAUUUAUGAGAGAACAUUUCAACGAAGGAUUGAUCAACGAGAACACCCCAGAAGUUGCUAGCAUGUCAGUGUAGAAAUACAUGCAUAGAUUCUUUUGCCCAUCAUGUAGUUCUGACGAGACUUUCGUCGUGUUUUCGUGUAGUACGUGUACAUACACACAUAUAAAUUGCAUUUUUUCCAAGGAAAGAAAAGAGAUUUAGUUACGUA
Long non-coding RNA from Pyrus x bretschneideri (Chinese white pear), 430 nucleotides. RefSeq lists it as uncharacterized. The record is from RefSeq and is a predicted model, not a curated record. The transcript is spliced from 2 exons. Lineage: Eukaryota; Viridiplantae; Streptophyta; Magnoliopsida; Rosales; Rosaceae.